AUCUCAGUGUCCCUUAAGGGUCUGAGGCUGCACCCACUUCAUUUAUUACACACCAGGAGAGCAGAGGGACCAGGCUUGGAGCGGACUCAUCGCAGCUCUUGCACCUGUCCAGCCGACCAUGUUUUUUCUUCCAUUUGCUGCAUUCCUUGCCGGAAUCAUAUGCACUGCAUUUGUAGUGAGGAAAUGGUAUCAAUAGACUGAGUCUACAUGAAUGCCAACUUUGCAGGUUUCCAUGCUGGGCCUGACUCUGCCCUCUGAGCAGCCGCCAAUUGCUUAAUGAUUCUCUACUAUCCAUGCAACUGAACAAAAGCAAGAUUCCUUCCUUCCAAGCACUGGAUUUGCCUUCAAACCGCCAGUGCUGGAAUGCCGAAAUCCUUUCCACAGCUUCUGCUUUAAAUGGCUUACGUUCAUUUUAUUAAUAAAAUCACAUUAAACAAUAAACGAA
This is a long non-coding RNA of Melospiza melodia melodia, 445 nucleotides long. RefSeq lists it as uncharacterized. The transcript has 5 exons. The record is from RefSeq and is a predicted model, not a curated record. NCBI's taxonomy places the organism in Eukaryota, Metazoa, Chordata, Aves, Passeriformes, Passerellidae.